This 1572-nucleotide ribosomal RNA is filed under the name Avahi laniger (woolly lemur). Its description in RNAcentral is "16S ribosomal RNA". It matches the Rfam family "Bacterial large subunit ribosomal RNA". The record is from RNAcentral. Lineage: Eukaryota; Metazoa; Chordata; Mammalia; Primates; Indriidae.
ACCAACCCUAGCCUGACUUCCCCCCCCCCAACAAACAUAAAAUAUCCAAUCAAACCAUUUACCUCAAAUAUUAACAGUAUAGGAGAUAGAAAUUUUACCCAGCGCUAUAGAAAAAAGUACCGUAAGGGAAAGAUGAAAGAACAUUUUAAAGUAUAAAAAAGCAAAGUUUACCCCUUGUACCUUUUGCAUAAUGACCCAACCAGCAAUAAUCCGACAAAAAGAAUUUUAGCCGAGAAACCCGAAACUAGACGAGCUACUCAUAAAUAGUCAUAUAAGGACGCACUCAUCUAUGUAGCAAAAUAGUGAAAAAAUCUAUGAGUAGAGGUGAAAAGCCUAACGAGCCUAGUGAUAGCUGGUUGUCUGGAAAAGAAUUUUAGUUCAACCUUAAAUUUACCUACAGUACCCUAAAAACCCAACGUAAAUUUAAACGUUUGCCUAAAGAGGAACAGCCCUUUAGGCCAGGCUACAACCAUUAGUAGAGAGUAAAUAACCCUAAUACCAUUGUUGGCUUAAAAGCAGCCAUCAGUCAAGAAAGCGUUAAAGCUCAACACACAAUAUCCUAAAUCCCAACAUUCCUCAUCAACCUCCCACUUACCAACCAGACCGAGCUAUUACUCAAUAGAAGUGACAAUGUUGAUAUUAGUAACAAGAAUAUCCAUUCUCCCAGCGCAAGCCUAUAUCAGAUCGUAUACUCACUGAUAGUUAACAAUAAGGUAAAAAUAAACACACCCUAAAAACUUACCCCAAUAAACUGUCAACCCAACACAGGCGCGCAAUAAGGAAAGAUUAAAAAAAGUAAAAGGAACUCGGCAAAAUUAACCCCGCCUGUUUACCAAAAACAUCACCUCUAGCAUUACCAAUAUUAGAGGCACUGCCUGCCCAGUGACACAUGUUAAACGGCCGCGGUAUUCUGACCGUGCAAAGGUAGCAUAAUCACUUGUUCUUUAAUUAAGGACUCGAAUGAAUGGCCAAACGAGGGUUUAACUGUCUCUUACUUUUAAUCAGUGAAAUUGACCUCCCCGUGAAGAGGCGGGGAUAAACCAAUAAGACGAGAAGACCCUAUGGAGCUUAAAUUAAAUAACCCACACUGAUAUAUGCAAACCUAAUUAAAGUCAUAAACACUAUCAUCCCCUGGGUUAGAAAUUUCGGUUGGGGUGACCUCGGAGCAUAAAAAAACCUCCGAACAGUUUUAACUUAGACCCUACUAGUCAAGGUAAUUUUAUACACCAACUGAUCCAAAUCAGCUUGAUCAACGGAACAAGUUACCCUAGGGAUAACAGCGCAAUCCUACUAUAGAGUCCAUAUCGACAGUAGGGCUUACGACCUCGAUGUUGGAUCAGGACACCCUAAUGGUGUAACCGCUAUUAACGGCCCGUUUGUUCAACGGUUAAAGUCCUACGUGAUCUGAGUUCAGACCGGAGUAAUCCAGGUCGGUUUCUAUCUAUUAAAACGUUCCUCCCAGUACGAAAGGACAAGAGAAACAGAGCCAACUUAACAAAAGAGCUCUCCAUUAAAUAGAUGAAGUAAACUCAAUCUAAUAUGCUACUUAAACCUUACCCAAAACAAGGGCUU